AACCAAGGAAGCCCAUUUCAAUAAAAGGGGGGGGGAGGGAGGACAACAAUAUAAAAAAUUUAAAAAAUUUUUUUGGAGAUGAAAAAUUGCGGCAGGAAGGCAAGGAGCUUUGAUGAUGGUCAAGUUAAAAGAGAAGAGAAAUCUUCAAGGGGAAAGAAAUUCUUUUUGCUUCUUUGCACACAACCUCUAGCAACCAAAGAAUCCACCAAUUACACCUCAUUAGGAAAUUGAUAACAACACGUAUACAAGCUAUCUAGGGGACGCGAUCAAUAUACUGCUAUCAACAAAUGGAACUUACAAUACGGGAAUCCAAUUAUCUACUAGCAAGCAAUCUAUACAAUCACUGAGGGCAGCUCUUAUAAAAAAGGGGGGCAGUUGUAAUGCACUUGUUUAUUAUUUCCUUAUUAUCUUCACUUAUUCUUACCUCUUUCCAUUAUACUCUCACUACCGCUAUUUCUAUAUGUAUAUAUAUAUCGAUGUAUGUAUUUCGCACAUCUUCUUUCUCUUUCUUUUCUUCCUUAGCGAUUAGCUACACUACACUACACUACACUAC
Molecule: small RNA, 553 nt
Filed under: Histoplasma ohiense
Lineage: Eukaryota; Fungi; Ascomycota; Eurotiomycetes; Onygenales; Ajellomycetaceae
Description: hypothetical lncRNA
Source: RNAcentral